Erinaceus europaeus (western European hedgehog) is the source of this 474-nucleotide long non-coding RNA. RefSeq lists it as uncharacterized. Lineage: Eukaryota; Metazoa; Chordata; Mammalia; Eulipotyphla; Erinaceidae. The record is from RefSeq and is a predicted model, not a curated record. The transcript is spliced from 2 exons.
UGCAGGUGAGAAGGAGACCCAGGGUCAGGCUGCAUAAACACAUUCACAGAAGGUGACACAAGUUCAUAAGAUGGGAUCAGAGCACCCCAGCCAGGAGCUACCCCACCAGGUUCCAGAUGCUACCAUGAUGCCAGCCUGACUUCCCUGGGCAGAGGACCCCACUAAUAUGUCCUGGAACCCUGCCUCCCCAGAGCCUUCCUCCACUUGAGAAAGAGAGAGACAGGCUGGGAGUAUGGAUUGACCUGUCAACGUCCAUGCUCAAUGGAGAAGCAAUUACAGAAGCCAGACCUUCCAUCUUCUGCACUCCAUAAUGAUCCUGGGUCCAUACUCCCAGAGGGGUAAAGAACAGAAAAUCUUUCAAGGGAGAGUAUGAGAUAUGGAGUUUUGGUGGUGGGAAUUGUAUAGAAUUGUACCCCUCUAAUCCUAUGGUCUUUUCAAUAUUUCUAUUUUAUAAAUAAAAGUUAAAUAAACAUG